UACGUAGGGGGCGAGCGUUAUCCGGAUUCAUUGGGCGUAAAGCGCGCGUAGGCGGCCGCCUAAGCGGAACCUCUAACCCCGGGGCUUAACCUCGGGCCGGGUUCCGGACUGGGCGGCUCGAGUGCGGUAGAGGAGAGCGGAAUUCCCGGUGUAGCGGUGGAAUGCGCAGAUAUCGGGAAGAACACCGAUGGCGAAGGCAGCUCUCUGGGCCGUCACUGACGCUGAGGCGCGAAAGCUGGGGGAGCGAACAGG
This 252-nucleotide ribosomal RNA is filed under the name uncultured bacterium. RNAcentral's name for it is "partial 16S ribosomal RNA". It matches the Rfam family "Bacterial small subunit ribosomal RNA", at positions 524 to 776 of the family's 1533-position model. The record is from RNAcentral.